CAGCAGCCGCGGUAAAACAGAGGGUGCGAGCGCUAAUCGGAUUUACUGGGCGUAAAGCGUGCGUAGGCGGCUUUUUAAGUCGGAUGUGAAAUCCCUGAGCUUAACUUAGGAAUUGCAUUCGAUACUGGGAAGCUAGAGUAUGGGAGAGGAUGGUAGAAUUCCAGGUGUAGCGGUGAAAUGCGUAGAGAUCUGGAGGAAUACCGAUGGCGAAGGCAGCCAUCUGGCCUAAUACUGACGCUGAGGUACGAAAGCAUGGGGAGCAAACAGGAUUAGAUACCCCUGUAGUCCCUGUCUCUUAUAC
This 301-nucleotide ribosomal RNA is filed under the name uncultured bacterium. RNAcentral describes it as "partial 16S ribosomal RNA". It matches the Rfam family "Bacterial small subunit ribosomal RNA", at positions 509 to 807 of the family's 1533-position model. The record is from RNAcentral.